UUUAUGACCGUUAAAAAUUAAAAAUAACGUUAAUAUUUUAUAUGACCGUUGUCCCUUUCUUAUUGAUUAUUCCUAUUUUUCUAAGUUAGAUUGUUUCUUAAAAAAUCACCCUCAUUCAAAUCUAUAUAAACAAUGUUACAUUUCUUUCACACUACAAAAAAAAAUAAAAAAAUCCCUCUAUUUCUCCUCAAACUCCUUCCCUCUCAAGGCACACUGGUGAUUGGAAUUCAAUUUUCAACUACUCAAUUUUUUACUGCGUUUCGUCAAUUUGUUCCAUCUGUUAUUUGCUUAGUUUAUUUAAUUUCCUUGACUUUUUCCUAUAAUGUCAACAUCACCAGCUAAUAAACGAUUAAAAAUUCAAUUUAAAAUUGAUCCUAACACUGGAGAACAAUUUAAGUAUUCUAGGAAAGUUGAUGAAUGGGAGUUAACGAAAUUUAUCAUUGUUGAGUCACUUUAUAGUUUUGAUGUUGCAGUUGAACCCAAACAGGCCCCGACGACUCCUAGUUCUUCAGCUUUUUCUUCCAAGCGCUUUCCUGGUUGCGAAUUUUGGCAACAACAUGUUGUAAUGUCACAUGAAUCGAGGAGAUCUGCUGAUUCAAAUGAGCUUAGUAUUUUAUCUGGAGCAACAAUAUGAUGGUAUUGAUGAGUCAGAUUUUGAUCUCUUGGGAUGGUGGAAAGAGCAUACGAAGAAAUUUCCAGUACUUUCCAGAAUGGCACGUGCUAUAUUUGCCGUUCCUGUGUCUACUAUGCCAUUAGGUAGAGUGUUUAGUCAGGAUGAGUUGCAAUUAUAUAUGAUAAAGACAGGUUAUUGGGUGGUGAUGUGGUUGAAAUGACCGAGUGUUUGAAAGAUUGGAUCAGAGCAGAAAGAAGAAAUCAAUGAUUAGAGGAGAUAGACGUGGAAUUUCUAGAGGACCUUGAUGAAGAAUUUCAAGAAAAAUGUAACAUGGAAGAACCAGUCCAUUGAGUUUUCAGAGUCCGAAGCUAAAGAGCUUCUUUCCAAGUUUCAGUAAUGAGCUUCCAGUACUUAGUAUGGUUUCCCUAGUUUUAUAGUACUUGCUAAGAAUUUCACUUUGUAACUUUGCAACAGCCUUUUGGGCAUUAUUUAAUUAAUCCAUCACCCUUCUUCUUUCUCAAAUGGUGCAAUAAAAUUUAGAGAACCAUGUAACUUGGAAAACCAGAAACCUAUAUAUAACUACUGCAAACUUGUCUUA
Long non-coding RNA from Capsicum annuum, 1211 nucleotides. RefSeq lists it as uncharacterized. The record is from RefSeq and is a predicted model, not a curated record. NCBI's taxonomy places the organism in Eukaryota, Viridiplantae, Streptophyta, Magnoliopsida, Solanales, Solanaceae. The transcript is spliced from 2 exons.